Molecule: transfer RNA, 74 nt
Filed under: Exophiala spinifera
Lineage: Eukaryota; Fungi; Ascomycota; Eurotiomycetes; Chaetothyriales; Herpotrichiellaceae
Description: tRNA-Val (AAC) (tRNA-Val-AAC-1-1)
Rfam family: tRNA
About the family: Transfer RNA (tRNA) molecules are approximately 80 nucleotides in length.
Source: Rfam by way of RNAcentral
GGUCUGGUGGUGUAGUUGGUUAUCACAUCUGCUUAACACGCAGAAGGUCCUGGGAUCGAGCCCCAGCCGGAUCA